RNAcentral lists this long non-coding RNA (1181 nucleotides) under Dicentrarchus labrax (European seabass). Its description in RNAcentral is "lncRNA (ENSDLAG00005035146.1)". The record is from RNAcentral. Lineage: Eukaryota; Metazoa; Chordata; Actinopteri; Moronidae.
AUUAUCUGAAAUCAGAAAUCCUAGGAAAAUGCACGUGUGGUGGGGAAUGCUGCCCUAGUGACGUCUAGUGCAGUAUUAGUGUCUGUGAAUGCAGCCCCAUGCCUGACUCCUCCCCAGCCAACAUCCCAAUGAGGUCAGGUUAUAUUAGCCACCUGCUGGCUGAUGCUCUCUCCUUUUUGGCUCUGAUCCUGUCUCUGCUGUGGUUGUUUUGUGCUCCAGUUCUGCUCUGGUGGUGCGAUUGUUGCCUUUCCCACCUGUUGAACCGAUCCUGUGUGUUAGCGCCCCAUACAAGAGGUGGUGAGUAGGGUUAAUGUUAAAAAGAAAAUAUGCAUUGUAUGUAACCUGGUGAGCCUUCUUAAUUCCUGUCUUUAUUCAUAGGUUCAUCUGUGAUGACUACUGCUGUUGCUCCUUGUUUGUUUUGCUGAUUUAGUCUGUUGACCAACUGGGCUGUCCUUUUUUAAUUAGGUCUUUUCCUUCUUUUUUUUUCUUUCACUGAAGCAGAGCGACAUGUUGUGGUGGGGCUAGAUACCCGUGAUGGGAUCCCCACUUCUGAUGCAUGUGAAUAAGAGCACCAGGACACGUUUGUAGACUGCACUUUUUCCUUAAUUUUGGUUAGUUUGUUUGACUGAUAGUUUUACAUAUUAUGGUUAACCAGUGGUUUUAGAUAUUGUAUCAGGCCUUUCUUUGAAUAAUUGUAAUACAGUAUUUUUAUUCUCUGCUUGUUUUAUUUUGAUUAUUUAAAUAAAAAUGCUGGUUUAAUGUGAAAAACACUUUUCUGUCUUACCUAAGUAACCAGACUGUGUGCCUUCGUUAUUAAUCCAAAUAACAUUUAGGGUUAGAAGUUGAAAUAUUUCCUGGGGUGCAUUUCCCCAGGUCCUUUCCUCAUUCUCUCCUCACUGCCCUUUCCAUGCAUACAACCCUAUCUCUUACAAGACCUCCCAAUUAUACAACAGAAUACGGGGUUUGUUUAUGCCCUCUAGAGCGACACAUGGAAGUAUUUGAUUUGACAGCCCCAUUGGCAGGACAGCAUCAUUAAGUCCAUGCCUCUCAAACAAAUGACAAAUGUUGAAAAACAAAUUGGUAUGAUUAAGGAUUGGUUACGUAUUGGCACAAAAACAACAUGGUUAGGGAAAGAUGAUUUGAGUUAAAAUAUUUUAAAUAAAUGUGUUAACGUUAAGGAA